GCAGGGGUGGGCAGAGAGGGCCUCUCCUAGGAAGUGAUGCUGGAACAGACACGAUGAAGAGAAACAGCAGAGCAGCACCACCGGGGCUGACUUCCGGGGCUCGGAGAGGAGUCGGUCGGUCGGGGUCUGUGCCCACAGAGACAUGAGGCUGAGCUGGGUCCAGGUCCUGACAGUACUGUCCAUCUGCCCGAGUGCUGGGGCCAUAGCCACAGGGGCCUAGGGCAAAAGGAAGCUGCAGAUCGGGGUCAAGAAACGGGUGGACCACUGUCCCAUCAAAUCUCGGAAAUGGGAUGUCCUGCACAUGCACUACACGGAGAAGCUGGAAGAUGGGACGGAGUUUGACAGCAGCCUGCCCCAGAAGCCCUUCGUCUUCUCCCUUGGCACAGGCGAGGUCAUCAAGGGCUGGGACCAGGGGCUGCUGGGGAUGUGUGAGGCAGAAAAGAGCAAGCUGGUGAUCCCAUCCAAGCUGGGGUAUGGAGAGCUGGGAGCUCCCCCAAAGAUUCCAGGUGGUGCAACCCUGGUGUUCGAGGUGGAGCUUCUCAAAAUCGAGUGACAUCAGAGCUGUAGCCAGACUGGGGAGGGGCAGGGCGAGAGGCCCCCAUCCAGGGACCAGACUGUUCUAAAAAAACAAAAAACAAAAAAACCUUAGAAGCCC
This is a non-coding RNA of Callithrix jacchus (white-tufted-ear marmoset), 655 nucleotides long. Lineage: Eukaryota; Metazoa; Chordata; Mammalia; Primates; Cebidae. The record is from RefSeq and is a predicted model, not a curated record.